RNAcentral lists this long non-coding RNA (28132 nucleotides) under Salvia miltiorrhiza (redroot sage). RNAcentral's name for it is "long non-coding RNA (SMIL_LNC006200)". Lineage: Eukaryota; Viridiplantae; Streptophyta; Magnoliopsida; Lamiales; Lamiaceae. The record is from RNAcentral.
CUCUCAAAACUGAUUGUCGUGCCAACUGCCAAUCGCCGCCGGCGUCGGGGACUCGGGGUGGAGUCACGACGCUCGGGCAAGGCGACCGUUGACUGGUUUGCUGGCGCCGGAGGUCGAGGUGAAGGGACUCAAAAAAGCUUCACUAUCAUCGCAAAACUCCAAUUUCCGGCGAUGACACGCUGGAAAUCCGAUUGCCACCUCGGAUUCAAUUAGGGGAAAAAUGGACGGACGGGGGAAAAUUACAAUUUAAGUUUNCAAUUUAUGGAUUUCUGUUCAGACUUUUUUUGUCAUGGGAAAUAACCAAAAAUAAAAAAAGUAUAUGGUUUUUCCGGCAAUUAACCCUUAAAAUUAUUCAAAAAUUUCAAAAAUUAUUAAAAUUUCAAAAUUUGUAGAUAUUAUUUAAGAUUUUUAAGUUGAGUAAUUUCAAAAUUAUUAAAGUUAAGUAUAUAUAUACGCAAAAUUUAAAAAAUACAACAUAUAAUUAUAAGUUAUUAUAUAAGUUAUAUAUUUAUAAGUUUUUUUUUUGACAUUUGGGAGAGGGGGAGCAAUGGGGUUUGAUCCCUAGACCUUAUAUUAUAAGUUAUAAGUUAUACAUUUAUAAGUUAUAUAUUACAUGAAUAUAAGUUAUAUAUUUAUUAGUUAAGUUGAAUCACACAUUGAAAAAUGUAGGAUAUGAAUUUGAUUUAAAAAAAAUUAAAAAUUCGGCUGGAACCGGCGGUUCAGGGUCGAAAUAUAUGUGAACCUAAACCGGCCCUUAACGUUUGGCGGUUCGGCCCUGAACCGGCCCGGUGGUCAACGGUUCCGGGCUGGAACCGUUGACCACCGGGCCGGUUCAGGGUCGAACCGCCGGUUCCGGUUGGCCCUUGGCACCACUAAUUGGGGACAGGGGAUCCGAACUGGUGCCAAUAUCCCUAUUUGUAUAUCGUGAUUUCGCCAGAAGCAAUGUUAUCAUUGGUAAACUUUUUGUGAAAGCUGGACAUGAUGCUCGCUCGGAAAUUAUGUACGUGCCCAAAAACAUAUAAAGAUGACCAUUAUUUCAUUGUCAAAAUUUAAAGCUGUUGAUUUCUCUUUUGUAAAAGAGAGUCGAAUAAAUACUCCUUUUCCUUCAUCUAAACAAAGCUAAAAACAAUUCCCCUCUAGAUUUAAUACCUCAGUUUUUAAGUUUAUACGAAUUUAUAUAGAAAUCCAUCUGAAAUCUUGUAAACAAAUUUAGAAAAUUAACUUAUUAUAAUUGAAAAAACAUUAUGUUUAGGAUUUAGUAAGAAAUUCUUCAAAAAAUUGUACAUAAAAAUUAAAAAGCUUAUUUUUAUUGGAAAAUAUUAUACUAAUUGAAAAGCAUCAUUUUCAUGAUUAAGUUACAAUUUUUUUAACGUUGAUUGUAGGUUGUUCGAAGAAUUUUAUCUACAUUCUAAAAUGUUAAUGUUGAUGUAUGUUAAGUUUUGUAAUGCUCGGAUUUUAAGUAUUUUAAUUUUCAAGUUAUGGAAAAAUAAUUAGUGGGAAAACGAUAUUAUAAAUAGAAUAAUAGAAGAGUUGCAUUAAUCUUAUAGAUAGAAAUUAUAGAUAGGUUCAACCAGGGGGCUUAGCCCACUGGCCACCGGAUCCUCACUUAAGUGAAGUGACCCGGGUUCGAUCUCUUUUGGGAGCGAAUUGGAGAUUGGAGAUAUAAGGUGAAUUUCGGGUUCGAUUUUGGUGAAUGGGAGAGAUAAGGUGGUUGCUUAAUUAUAGAUAGGUUCGGUGACUAGAAGUAGAAGAAUGGCAGUUGCUUAAUUUUUUAUAGAGCCAAGCAGAACAGCAUAAUCACAUGGUACAGCCAUUGUCUUGUUAGAUGGUACCAUCAUAAAGAUUAACCAAAACCAUUAAUGAGAGAGAAAGAGUAUAUGAACAUAUAGAACUUGAGAAAUGAAAAUCUUGGUAUGGAAGAAAGAAUCUGUAAUGUUAAAUUAUCCACCAACUCAACAAGAAUAAUUUGACAGGUUCUAAUCUUAAGAUAUGAUAGAGUUUAAUGUAUUUCCAACACUGACGAGAAAUACAAAGACGUAUAUAACAAACAUUUUUUCUCACAACUGGAGACACAUACAAGUGUGCGAAUUUUUAUUUGACAAAAUUAGAAAUUCUAUUAAAUCACUUUUUAUUAUUUAUUUGUGGAUUUCUCUGCAAACUCAUACAGACAGACACUCUUCCUCCGCUCUAUUUAAAUUCUAAUUGCCAUUCAUAAUUUUGAUUAGGGAUUAUUAAACUAUAAUUGAGAAUUCAUAAAUUCUAAUUGAAAGUUAGUUCAUUUUAAUUGAAACCAUAAUCUAACCCUUUACUCACUCAUAAUUGAUAGAUAAUUACUGAUUAAUUAACACUUAAUGAAUGAUUAAUGCUUCACGAUAAAAGUUUAAAGUAACUCAAGCCAAAAUUGACGGACUCCAUUGAACCGAAUGAAAAUUCGANAUUUUGUCGAAAUUUCAUUUUUUUCGCACGAUCGCAGUCAAAAUUAUGCAUAUAAUUGAACACAAAUAUGCAUAAUGUUUGAUAGAAACAUGUAUGAGAAUAUAUCAAUUUGCGACCCCUCAUGUGUCUCUCGCUGCUGCUAGUUGUUGUCAUAGUUUUACAUACAGUUGAACACAAAUAUACAUAACGUUGGAUAGAAAUAUGCAUGGAAAUAUAUGACUCGUCACGUACCUUUCGUCGCUAUGCACCUGACGGGUCGCAUAGUGCUAUGCAUAUUUGUGUGUAACUUUAUGCAUAUAUAUGUUUAUGAAUAUGCAUAUUUGUGUUCACUUAUAUGCAUAGGACUAUGCUAGAGCAUUAGGUGGCUCUCGCCACUAUUCACCUGACGGGUCAUAUAUUCUCAUGCAUAUUUUCAUCCAACGUUAAGCAUAGUUGUGUUCAAUCAUAUGCAUAAUUUUAACGGCGGCCAUGCGAAAAAAAUGAAUUUUCAACCAAUUUUUUUUUAAAUAAUAAAAAUUAUUAUUAUUAUUAUUAUUAUUAUUAUCAUCAUCUUUUUGUAUUUUUGAAAAAAAUAUUCUUAUUUUACGCCUACGUGUAUUUUGGAAGACAUAUGUCACGUGUCACGCUCUUAGAGAGCCACAUAGUCAAAUUGUAUGGUCUAGAUUUGGACCUAUAUACUAUAAAGGGAGUGGAUACUACAGGACCUCAUCUCUGUGUAUAUAUUUCAUAAAUAUAAAUAUAUAUAUUAUUAAAUAAAUAUAAUUUAGUUUUCAAUUUUGUUCGAUUUUCACAUAAUCAAACUGAAUCGAACAAAAAAAUCGAAUUCUUGUGAAAAAUCAAAUCGAAUCAAAUUGACAAAAUCGAAAAAAUGGAACUAUAUUUUAAUAUUUUGAUUUUGAAUCAAUUCGGUGAUUCGAACUAAUUGUACAUAUAUUAAUCAAUAAAGAAAAUAUGUUCUUCUAGGUAUGCUUUUUGUCACAGAAUGAUCGACAAUUUGACCGAAUCGACAAGGACAUUGGCUACCAUAUAUAUAUAUACUCAUAUCGCUCUUUCCUCGUCAGUGUAACCCCGUUUUUUGGACCUAGGUCAAUGAUGGAGAAAAUAAUUAAUGUUUUUUUACUACUAUUAUUAAAUCAUAAAUUAGGGGCUACGUUGUUUCUGUGAAACGCGUUAUUACAUUUGUCAAUAUAAGCUAUAAUUUGCAAAAGAUAUUCCACACUUUUCAUCGCGUAAUAAGAAUUAAUAAUUCAAGGCAAUCAAUACUAAUGAUCAAAUUUUAAUUGGAUACUUUAAGGUAGAAAUCAAAGCAGAUCUCCUGCUUUGUAAACUUGACUCUUAUAUGGGCAGCAGCAAGCACGUUAUUUGACAUAGCGCACAUAUAGGCUACCAUUUUCCCACACGUAUGUAUCAAUGUAUGUAGCUAGCCCUUCAUCUUCAAUUGUUAUUGUCUUUAUUGUUUUUGUUUUGUCUUUUUCUUUUUUGUUGGCCUUUUGAUGUAAAAAGAUAAAGACUUUAUUAUUAUUAUUAUUAUUAUUAUUAUUAUUAUUAUUAUUAUUAUUAUUAUUAUUAUUAUUAUUAUUAUUAUUAUUAUUAUUUCCAAUCAUAAUUUACUAAUAUAUAUUUCUCGAAUUAUAAAUAGUGGAUUAAUUGAUAAUUUUUCCUUCCCCAACUCAAGACUCUGAAAAGAAAAAUAUACUAUUGGCAUACAUCAUACAUGUAACUAUUUAUUCUAAUGUAGUUAUAAAUUCUAGAUAAUGUACUUUCCAUAAUAAUAUAAACCGAGCAAUACUACUGUUUAGCGCACAUCUGGUUGAAUGUUUUUAGAGGUUGGAAAGGGAAUCAAGUAACUGAAUCCAUUACUUAUUGUUUGGUUUGAGUAAUGAGAUAAUCAUUAUCCUUACUUGAGGUAACCCAAUCACCCAACUUGUUACCCCUCAAAAUAGAGGGGAAAAUAGAGGGGAAACAAAAGAAAGGGAAUCCCCUACUAAUGAUUCAUUUUUAUUGUUAAACCAAACACUCAAUAAAAGUAAUGGUUAUUGUUACAAUUUCACUCAUUUGUUUGAUUUCAUUCCUUUUUCAUUACUCUACUUGAACCAAACGAGCACUUAGAGAGUAUUAACUAUUAAUUAUUUCAUUCGUUCACAAAAUGGUUAAUUUUUUGUCGAUUUUCAUUUUUGGAAACUUCUAGUUCUAUCCACAUGGUGAACUAUUUUCUUCACUUACAAUACAAUUAUGGCUCGUUUUCUAUGAAUAAUAAGUGUGAGAUAGAUACAUAUAAUACUCUAUUAUAUUGUUUGCUUCAAAACUCAAAGUUCUUUAUAAAUUAAUGACUUGUUAUAUUAUCCAUAUCUUUUGGAUUAUGUAUCACAUUUGGGAGGUGUCAUAGCGUAACCAAUUUUUUAUAUGUCUUACCAAAUACUCCCUCCGUCUCGCGAAAUUUGAACAAAUUUCUUUUCGGCACGAAUUUUAAGAAAUUAGUAUUUUGUGUGUUAAGUGUGGUAGGUGAAAAAGUGAAAAGGUGAAUAAAGAGAAAAAAAAUUGUCAUACAAGAAAAAUGCUCAAACUUCGUGGGACAACUUGAAAAGGAAUACUGCUCAAGUUUCACGGUACGGAUGGAGUAUAAUAUUGAUAUAUAAUAAAUUAAUAGAUAUCACAAUCAAAGAUAUCACAUCUUAUCUUAUACCACGUAGCAAACGAGCCCUUAAUUAUCAUUAUUAACAUUAUUUUUAAAGUGAAAUUAUAUUUUCACUCAUAAUAUAUUACUAUUAUUAUUAAAAUCUAUAUUGCCCCUUUUUAAAUUAUUUUUUGUGGACGAAUGAUAUAUUAAACAAUAUUUUUUAGUACGUCCCUUAUCACAUAAUUUUAAAUACACACACAAGCACAUAAGCAGGCGCUAAUAUUAUAUAUGAUGUAUCGUUCUCAUUUGAUGUAAUGCAUAUAUAGGGAUGAGCUACCGUGAGAGAACCUUUUAAAAUAAGAAAUAAGAACUAGGAAAAAUAUUGGAAUUUUAUGUAGAACACGUAUGAAUUCGUUGUAUAAAGGUAUGAAUUGCGAAAAAUAAUUUUUUGCUAUCUUUGGGAUUCGAACUCAUGACCAUGAAUUCAUCCAACAGGAUGAUGAAUCAACCGUAAAUCUUGAUGAUCUAAGGGUUGAAAAUGAUUCUUACUUUAUAUAUUAAGAAAUGUACUUAUUUUAGUCCUCCCCUUCAUAUAUAUAUAAGUAUUAAUAGGCAAAAAUGUCCUAUUCCUUAUGUUGUAUAUGAAAAAUAUCAUAUACGUACAAUGGCCAAUUUUUUAUUUUUUUUGCUUUAUUAAAGAUACGACAUACAUUUAAUUUAUUUUAUAAAAAAAAAACCAUACAUUUAAUUUAUAUAUAUUAUAUUUGAAUUGUUAUUAUAAAUUAAAUUAAAUAUUUAAAUAAAUUAGAAAACUCACAUAUAAAAUUUGAAUUAAUAGCCUCUCAAAAAAGAGAAAUUUUGAUGUUUCAAUAUUGUCGAUUGAAUUAGACCUCAUUCACGUAUAGUAUGAACUUAAUUGAACAGGAAGAUGACUCGUCUAUAUAUUUGAAGUAAUACUCUUUGGUGCGUUUACUUUGCGUUUACUUUGCAUGAUUGACCCGUCUCCAAUCACAUUUUUUUAUGGGAUAAAAAUUUAAAUAAAAUUAAUUUGAAUGAUAAAAAUAAUUAAAGGCCUUGGAAUAUUACAAAAUUACAACCCAUCAAAGUAAAUAAGAAAUUAGCUUUAUCAUUUUUAUCUAUACAGAGUAAUCCUCAAAAAUAACUUUAAAGUAAAGGCCCCCGAUCAACAAUUCAUCUUCAUCUCUAAGUUCAAAUUCAUUUUUGUAAUGGGACCAAGGGGGUACUAAUUUUUUUAGGGGGAUAUUUGCUGUAAAAUACACAAAUUUUCAGUAAAUUAUGGUUUUUCCCAUAACCUUUAUAAUUUGAAAAAAAAAUACAUCACUUUCGAUCUUUUCUGAUUUUUCCCACGAAUAUGAAAUACCUCCAAAUAGAAGCUAAUUUUAGGGCUUUUGACUAAGAUUUUUGAUACCCAAGCGUGAUGGGCAAUAAAAGUGGCAUACUAAAGUUGAUGCAUCGACUUAGGUAUUGGUGGACGUCGUUUUCCACCAAAUCCUGCAGAAUUAUCAAAAACUAAUUAGUAUAAUGAUAAGCAUGGUCGAUCCCACAGAGAGUAGAUAAACUCAUUCAAUUCCCCAAAAAUCUAUAAAUUUGGUGAUGCCACCACGUCUUAAAUUUGAGAAAAUUUAAUUAAAACUAAGAAUGCAAUAAAUCAAAAUAAAAAUAACUCUUGAAAUAAAUCAAUAAAAAGGUAACUCGGCUCGAAUAAAUCCACACUAAUUCAAAGUUCUGAUCAUCGACGCAAUCCCUUAUUAAAAUAUAACCUAGCUGGAUACGUCAGUCUUAUAUUUAAUAUUCUAAUAGUAUUAAGAUGAAGAAACCCAAUUUAUAUCAAUUAUCCUAAUACGUUAGUAAUAAUUAAUACACCAAUUAAUUCCUACUACGAACACGGUAGUUUUAUCACUAAUCAGCCAUAUUCCAACAAUUAUGGAUUGGAGGUACUAAUUGACUGUAAUCCAAUUUAAUCUAAGUUGACCAGGCUUAAAUAAAAUCAGAAUUAUCUUUAAACACAAGGAACUAAUCAAAAUCAAUAGGAACCAAUUUUAAAACCAAUUAGAUCUCACAGAUUAAUAAAUUAGUGUUUCAUUAUUCUCGCCGAAUUAAAAGAAUUAACUACUCAUAAUCAAAUUAGAAACAAAUAAAUAAAUUAAAGUAAACAUGAAACAAGAAAAUAAAUUAAAUUACGAAUUAAAUAAAAUCAUCACUUGAAUGAAAACAACUAAAAAUUCUCGUCUGCCUUGCUUCACAAAAAGUAGCCGCCAAUCUUCACUAAUCAACCAAAAGUAAAAACAAUUGAAAUUCCCUAAUCAACUAAGCAAUACGUGAACCGCCCAAAAAACUAAGGAAAAAGUUUAUAUAUAUCACCAAAGUCAACCAUAAUUCUCCCUUUUCUAAGUUGCGGCUAAGUGUAAAAAGAACAAGAUAAUAACCUAAUUAUCAUCUAAUUAUGCGGCUAUGUGGAGGAAUUACAAAACCAAGGGAUUAAAUAUUCCCUUGAGUGACCGAACCCUCUCCCAUAAAUGGGCUUUCGGCCCUUAACAAAAUAAAGCCCAAGAAUUAAUUAAAAAAAACGUUUUGGGCUAAAUUAAAAUCUAGACAAUUAAUUACAAGCUCAAUCUCUAAAUUUCUUUCAAAAUCACACGAACUUCAUCCAAAAUUCGACUUUCACCAUCUCUUUGCAUCCACGAGCUUCCACUCCAAAUUUCGCUCAAUUCCUACAUCCAAAAUAUAACAAACCAUGUAAAAUAAUAUAAAACCAUAGCAAAACACACACUAAACUAAGUAACCAAAAUGCACACAUCAGGUAUCAACAAAUCUAAGUCGAAAAUCCUAAAAUCCGCUUCUAUUUGAAGGUAUUUCAUACCCAUGGAAAACAUAAGAAAAAAUCGAAAGUUUGUGUAUUUUUUUUUUAAAUUUUAAAGGUCAUGGAAAAAAUCAGAAUUUGCUGAAAAUUCGUGUAUUUUUUACUGUAAAUAUCCUUUUUUAGGAAUUGUAGAACCCUAAACCCUGAGCAUAAGCCAUAUUGAAAUUCAUCAUUUUUCUCAUGAAUGAACUCAAUGCAGACCAUCAGGAGAGCCAUUGUGAUCGGGAACGGCGUCUCCGGCGCCCAAAAUCAGUGCAUCGGCUUGCUUCGAGCUUUGGGUCUCUCCGAUAGAUACACACUCUUUGUAAGCCAAUUUCUUUCUCAAUUCACGAAUUCUAUUUUGAAUUGGGCAACUUUUCAAAUUGAUUGAUGUAAAGUAUGCUACUCGUAUCUCACAAACAUGAUUCGGGUGCUGAAAUGUGCUAUGAGGCAUUGUCAUUUCUAAUAAUCUUAUGGUUUGGUCAAUAGCUGCAUUUUUCGCUCUAUCUUCUUGUGGUGUAUUGUGAUGUCUGCUCAUAAUCUCUCCAAUGAUUGCAGCGUGUUAGUCGGCCGAGAGGUGGAAUCAAUGAGAAACUUCGUUGGUUGCCAGUUAAUGUGCAUAAACGAUUAGAUGGUGCUGUUGAGUGGAUUCGUGGAAAACCAUUUCGAGCAAAGAAAUUGGUGCCGUUUCCAGCUGAGCGGAGAGGUGGUUUAGGCUCAUAAGCUCUAUAACUUUGUUUGUAUAUCUUCAUCUGUGAGAAAUUCAUGAAUUUAAUCCAGAGGAAUAUUUAUUGAUUCCCAUUUUGCGCCUCUGUGAAUGGUAUUGUCUCAGAAGUUUUAGAGGCAGAUGCAAGGCAUAUCGUGAAAGCUGCCCAGCAAACAUUUGAGAGGUGCCUUUUCUUUUUUCAAGAAUUUGAUUGUGCUUUUGAAGUCGUUUUCUAAAAAUUGGUUGGAUAGGCAUUGAUUAUUUUAAAAGCCCUAAAGAUGUUCAAUUGUCACUAUUGCAAUGCAUUUAGUAUCACCAGAUAUCUUUGAUCAAUUCUUUGAGCAUCUUGCUUCCAACCAGUCACAUCUCAAGUAUUCUCUUAUUGGUUCGUUUUCUGCUGAUGUAGUUGGUUUAGUACCUCUUGAAACGUCACUUUGCUUUUUGCAAACUUAUCAUGCUUCAUUUAUAACUCGUUUUGGAACUUGGGUUCAAUAUAUGAAGCAAUAGCUAUUUAUGAAGGAUGCUUAAAAGCAUGUCUCUGUGCAGCAUGGUCAUCCAUUUGUUAUGCUUGGAGAUCAUGAAAAAACUUGAUUGACAUCUUUCAUAGUUUAGGACAUACAGUUUGACAUAAUUAUAGGCUUAUAACUAAUAAGGGGGGAUAUAGAGAACCUGGAUGUGCUUCUGUGUGUUCUCAAGUUUCUUUCUUUUAGGGAUGGCCCCAUCUUGGUGGUUGCAUCAGGUCAUGAUACCAUCGCUAUUGCAAGCUCCAUCAAGAAGUUGGUUCCAGACAAUAUCUUUCUUGUUCAGGUAUGAUGAGGUGCUGAUCAUUAUUUAAUAAUCGGAACAUUAAAUUUAAAGACCGCAUCGCGGUGGUCUCAAACCCGAGACCUUUGGCCUCAGGCAUUAACCACUCUACUGCUAGGCCAACACACACAUACAAGGUGCUAAAUAAUUAUCCCUUUGACAUGGUCCUAGCUAUUAUGCCUUUAAACUUUUGCAAAUCCAAAAUGUGUCUUCAUAUCCUAACUAUAAUCAUAUCAUAUUUGGAAUGCUAAAAUGAACAAGAGGAGAUAUAAAAUCUAAAGAAACUUUAUUUUACAUAUAGUUCUUAUAAAGUGAAUAAUACAAAUAGGCGAAAAUAGAGUUACCUACAAUUACGUUGUGUACAAAGUUAUAUUAUUUCCUCUGGUUUUCUCUUUUCCAUUCACAAGUACGACAAUUUUUAGGUUUUGCCAGUGACUUGUUCUCUCUCCCUCAAUAGAGAUGGUCCUCGUAGUUUUGAAGUUUGUAGGGGAAGAGGAUGAAAGAUGAGUGCAAUAUCUCCAUGGUGAAGUUUUAACCUUUUCAUUUGAUGUGCAAGUAGAGUAUGGUUAGUGAAUCUGUGCUAGUUGAGAAGCAUAAUAUUACCCUUCAGGAUUUUAUAUGUUUUGCUAUUUGCUUUCAGAUACAGCAUCCAAGGUCUCGUCUUCACAGAUUUGAUCUGGUGAUAACACCUCAGCAUGAUUAUUACCCCUUAAUGCCUGAGGCACAAGAACAGAUCCCUUUGUUUCUAAGAAGGUGGGUAACACCUCGAAAGCCUCCUGAUAAACAUGUGGUAUGUUACUCCUUAAUUGGUCAAAGGAUUUCAUUCACCACAGAAACUCUUCAUCUGAAAAUAGUUUGGGUUGUCUAUCAUUUGAUUUGACAUUGAUUGUAAGCUAUAUAUAGCUGAAAAGUUACUCUUAGGUCCUUACAGUGGGAGCUCUACACCAGGCUGAUUCUGAUGCUUUGAGAAGCGCAGCUUCUGUUUGGCAUGAUGAGAUGGCACUCUUGCCUAAGCCCUUACUUGUUGUUUCCAUUGGAGGUCCUACAAGUAGGUUGUGCAUUUCAUUGUUCUGGACACUUAAAAACUUUUGACAGUGUUAGUAGGAAUCAUUGAUCCAUUACCCUGAUGUCAGCAUUUACACGUCAAUAUAAUUUUUCAAUAUUGUGUUGGUACAUUUAGAAGUUAUCAGAAGACUAAAUGCCCAUUCUUUUAGAUUAUAAAAGCUUCAAAGAGAAGGUCUGAUUGCUCUGGGUCAUCCAGGUUUAUCCUUCCCUUCUUACUUCCUUAGAUAUUAUUAUAUUAAUUAGAAAGAGUAGUAUUUCAUAAUUUGUGAGAUUCUAUUUUUUUUUUGGGUAAUGCUUAUAUGCUAUUCUCCUGUUGCACAUCCCUCGGAUUCAUCCAAAUGCAAAUGAAGCAUAGUAUUUUGUUUGUUCGAUAUGCAAACCUCUCUUGCUACAAUGCUGAAGUUGCUGAUCCAAAAUGCUUCUACGUCAUGUUUGUUCUCUCUUGCUAUCUUCAUCAUACUGCCUCUGAACUUACAUUUGUCUUGUAAAUGUUUCUUUAGGCGAUUACUCAAACUUCCUUUCUCAUAAUCUAAGAGCUCGAUUCUAGUGAUAUAUGUUCAUAAAUAACCAUUUAUAUACUGCAUUGCAUGUCAAUCUGAAUCUUACAAUUUUCUAUGUUUCUUCUUCACUUUUCACAUAUAUAGGGUUCACCAUUUAUCUUCAUGAAACCUCCUAUUAGAAUUUUCGAUGUCAUCGGAUCAGCCUUUUUCUUGAAUCUCUUUAUUCUGUAGGACAUUGCAGAUACGGUGCUGAUCUUGCAAUGCAGCUUACAGCUGCAAUGAAGAGUGUUCUUUCAACUUGUGGAAGUAUCAGAAUAUCGUUCUCUCGUCGAACUCCCAAGACUGUGCGUACUCUCUUGAUCUCUUCACAAUUUAUGUAAUUAUUUAUUUGAAGCUAAAUUCUUAGUCAUGCUGUAAUAAACAGGUAUCUGACAUCAUUUUGACUGAAUUCUCAAACCAUCCCAGAGUCUACAUUUGGAAAGGUCGAGGUAACUAAUCGAUUCUUCUCUCUUUCUGUGUCACCACUUGCAAAAGUUAUGUUUUUAUCAGAUUUUGACAGAUGUUAUCAUCUGUGACCGUCAUAUAUUUCCUUAAAUUUGAAUAAAAGAGAUUGGAGACCCUAGCACUGUAUUCACAUGACUGGUGGUUUCUCGUAAUUCUUUGACUGUAAUAAAUAUUCUUCUCUCAUUCUGUUUCCUUUUUUCUUUUCUUCCCUGAUUUGCUCUCCUCUCAGGGAAAACUUUUCUUUUGUAAUUGGCUUCGCUUGUUGCUUUUGUUUGUGUUCUACCGUGUUGUUCUUUUUCUACAUUACCAUAUGAAGGUGUAACUGUUGUUAACAUUGUCAAUAGUUUUGAAGAAUAUCUUUUACUACAUAAAGGCUUUGAUCAGUCAAAUCAAUAGAUUAUUAUCAGUGAAUUUUCUCUUCAAGAGCUAAUCUAAAUUGCAUUGUAUGAUAUCUUCAGAUCCAAAUCCACAUAUGGGACAUUUAGCUUUAGCAGAUGCUUUUGUAAUUACAGCCGAUUCAGUAAGCAUGUUGAGUGAAGCUUGCAGCACAGGGUAUGUGGCUGUGUAGAAAUUUACUCCUUCAGUCUAUCUUAUUGUUUUAACAAAGUUUGUAUUUCAAUAUCUGGAUUGACACUGCAGGAAGCCUGUGUAUGUAAUUGGAGCAGAGCGGUGUACAUGGAAGUUUUCGUACUUUAUCAAAACCCUGCAGAGUAGAGGAGCAGUUCGACCAUUCACCGGCACAGAAAAUGUAAGCAAUUGCUACCUACAUCCUUUGGAAUUCUUUUGGCCCCUAAAACAUGAAAGCGAAAGGUUUCAUUUGAAAACUAAUUUCGCAAUUAUCCACUAAUAUCGACUCAGAAUUUAGAAAAUGGUAUAUCUGUAAACUGGUUUUUGCAGAUUUGUGAGAAAUGGGAGUAUGUUCCACUUGAUGAUACAAAGAAGGCUGCUGGUGAAGUGAUUAAGGCAGUUGCUGAACGUGGAUGGAGAUUGCUGCCUCACUCAGAUCUCUCAUAAUUUUAAGAGUAUCUGAUAAAGGCAAAGGAUUCUUUCAUUUGUACCCUCUUGUAUUUUCUAGCCAUAUCAAUUUCUUCUUCUUCUUCUUCUUCUUCUUUCUGUGUGAUUUCAUUUUACUCAUUAUCGUUCUUUUGGACAUUGUCUUAUUCACCCUUAUUUUGUGAAAUUACUUGUAAGAUAUUGAAUAAUUUAUUGGCUUUAAUAUUCUUAUCAAGGUAUUGUUUUAUCUUUGGACAAAUAUCAUCUUAUGUCCCCACAUACCGAUUUUUCUAAAAUUUAUUGAUUUUUGAUUAGUUACGAUUUCAUACCUAUCGUUUCAAAAAAAAUUAUAUUUGUGUGCUAAAUGCUAAAUGUUAAUGAUGUGGACUACCAAUGCAAUUGCAAAUUAGAACUCUCGCAUAUGGUGGUCAAAGAAGUUUAAAAGAUUGUCUUUAUUAGAUAGUACUCCCUCCGUCCACGAAAUGAGUACCCAUAUUUCCUUUUUCGUCCGUCCACGAAAUGAGUACCCAUUUCCCUUUUUGGCAAGUGUACCCCACACAUCUCUUUAAUUAAUACACUCAAAAAGUGGGACCCUUAAACUAUUCAUACUACACUCCAUACAUUUCUUAAAACCCGUGCCGUCCACAAAUGGGUACUCAUUUCGUGGACGGAGGGAGUAUAACAAAUUGCCUCAUAGUGGAUUAGGGAAGGUAUUUGGUGUUAGUUGACUAAUUAUUCUAAUAGGCUAGCUAAUUUUCUUAUGAUUGGGACAUUUCUUAUGUCAGCCAUGCAUCUCUCUAAAAUAAAUCCCUUUUGACUUGUGAGGCUGUGACAUAAUUCCCAACUAGCAACUGAUAUUUGCAAAGUAUGUAUAUUUGCAUGAUUGAAUCUACUCCUUAAUCUAAUAUCACAAAUUCAAAAAGUGAUGAAAUUAAUAUUCUCUCCCUCAACAGAAAGCGCAGCAACAACUCUUCUUGCUAGCUCCAUUAUCUUUACACUGCUGCAUCAUCCCAAGUUUUAAUUCCUAAACCAAACAAAAUCACUAUAUAUAGAGCCACAUUUCCUAUUUGCAAUGCAUCACAAAACAGCUCUUGCUCAAUCUUAAUUAAUUCAUUCAUUAAUUCCAAACCAAGAAAAGAUCAAUGGAGAAAAGUGAGGCCGCCACCAUCGAAAUGGGCGACACAAGCCGGGAAAGCAAAGGGAAAGCCCUCUUCUCGCCGCCGCCGUCCACAACAAUCGUGCGGCCGCCGGAUACAAGAGGGGCGCCGCGGUGUUCGACCUCAUCCUCCGCGUGUGCGCGGCGGCGGCAGCUAUGGCCGCCACCAUCACGAUGGCGACCACGGAGCAGACGCUUCCCUUCUUCACUCAGUUCUUCCAGUUCCAAGCCAGCUACGACGAUCUCCCUACUUUCUCGUCAGUCACCACAAUCAUUUGCAAAUUAAAACUCUCGUUUUUCGCAUUGAUUUUCAAUUUAAACGGAGUUAUGCCUUUUUCAGAUUCUUCGUUAUAGCGAUGGCGGUGGUCACCGGUUACCUAAUUCUGUCGGUGCCUUUCUCCAUUGUGUGCAUUGCUCGCCCUGCUGUGAUGGGGGCCCGCCUCCUACUCAUUGUUUGCGACACAGUAAGCGCGCGCUCUCUCUCUCUCUCAUGAUUUUCUCUCUCUUUCUCUGCCUGAUUUUGAUGGUGAUCGGUGCAGUUGGCAGUUACCUUGGCUACUUCAGCGGGGGGUGCGUCGGCGGCGAUAGUGUACCUGGCCCACAACGGCAACUCCGACGCCAAUUGGCUCGCUAUAUGCCAGCAGUUCAAUGAUUUCUGCCAGAGGGUCAGCGGCGCCGUCGUCGCCUCAUUCGUCACCGUCGUCUUGCUCAUUUUCUUAGUCGUCAUCUCCGCCGUCGCUCUCAGGAAACAUUAAUCUCGGAUUUGCCUUUUACAUGUCCAAUUGUCUAUUGUUUGCUGUCAUUUUUAUUUCUAUUUUGUUUCUCAUCUCUAUUGUUGUAUUUCUGCAAAUAUUGUAACUCAAAUCACAUUAUACCACAUUUGUUUGCAUCAUAUUGUCGCCACAAUUCCCAAAAUAUUAAUUAAAAAACGUCAAUGAUAUGCAAAAUACAUUAAGUUUUCCGUAAAUCGUACAUAUUCUUAAAACUAGCCACACAAUUCAUAAUUUUUUUUGAAAUAAUUUUUUUUUAAAACUUAAAUACUCUAGCUCAGUUCAUUUGCAUGAACAGUGAUUUUAAAUGUUUAAUUUCCAUAUAAUAUGAUACACAGUUUUAAAAUUUCUUUAUUUACUUGUAUAACUAAUCAAAAAUAUAUAUAUUCAAUAACACAUCAAUAUUUCACAAAUCAAGUCCAUUUUUGACAUGUGUAAUUAACUUUGGAGAGUUUCAAUCACGUGACAAAAUUAACAAAUUAAAAAUUAAUACUAUAUUGUAUCACAACGUUUUAAUAAUUAAGUGAAAUUCCAAAAAUACCUUAUGUAGUGCAUAUAUUUAUAGGUGAAUAAUCCAAAAUAAAAUAGUAUAGUAAUUAAAAAGAAAACAAAUCCAAGAUGACACUAUCUUUAAUUACAAUUACAAAAAGUAAUACCAAAAAUAGAAAUAAAUGGAUACUCCAAUAGCUAAACACACCAUGUCCCAAUCUCCCUCCCUCCUCAACUCUCUCUCUCUUCUCUCUUUCUUCAUCUCCUCGAACUCUGCGUACCUCCGCCGCGCCACCGCCCCCCUGUUCUUCCCGGCGCCCUUUUUGCCCACCAACGCCCCCUGCAAAAUGACUACACUCUCCUUCCCAUUCAAAUGCUUCCCGUCCAUGUCUUCCAUCUCCAGCCUCACUCCCUUCACCUCCAUCUCGCCGCCGCACGUGACUACUAUCCCGCACUGCACGUGACCUCCGUCGCCGCCCAAUAUCGAUCCAAAUCGCACCUCCAUUUCCCCCGUCAGCCAGUGCCGCCUCACGGAGACGGGCUCGUGCGACGACAAAUUCGCCGCCCGCCUCCCCGCCGGAUCAAUCAGAAUCCAGCUCAGCGUCAUUCUAUCCAGAAUUCCUUCAUGCAUGCCGGCACCGUCGCCGUCGGAGAUCUUGACGGCGGCGUGGGCGGAGUCCUUGAGUUCUAGAAGGUCGACCCGGAAAGGCGACCACCGGAACCAGUCGCCGCCUGUUUCGGUGGAGUGGAGCUUGGUGAAGAUUAGUUUGCCGUCGUAAUGUAUGUCGACGGCGGAGAGUAUCUCCGGCGGGGCGGAGGAAGGGUGGGUGAUGGGGCGUUGGGAGAGGAGAGGAAAUGCGUGAGAGAAAAAAGCACGGGGGCCGCCGCCGGGGAAGGUGGAAAGGAGUUGGGUGAGGCGCGGAGAGGCGGUGGCCGGCCAUGUUGAGUGGCAUAUGCUGAGCCAUAGGUUGUGGUGAGAGGCCUGACGGCGGAGAGCGGUGGAGCAGCACGCGGCGGAGGCGAGGGCUGGGCCGUUCAAACGGCUGAGGAUGUGGGAAUCGAUGAUUUCGGGGUGCAAGGUGUGAAAGCCGGCCGCGGCGCCGGCCGGUGGCGGAGGAUUCAUUUCUUUUGGCAGUAAAAAUGUGUAUUAUUUGAAUAAUUAGGGAACAUAUGAUUAUAUAGUAAUUGCAACUUGAGAAUGAGCUUAUUAUGACCCAAAACGCCACUUCUAGUAUUCAAGAUCAAGAGAUUGCACAAGUAAUACUAUAUUUUUAAUUUUUAUAAAUAAAUUGUAACAUGACCAAAAAAUAAUGACCGGCUUUUUAACGCUAAUCUUGUUCUUGUCUAAAUUUGAUGAUUCUAUUCUGCAAAUAUAAAAUUAUAAAGUCGUUGUCCGCAAAUUUGUUUAGUGCUUAUGUGCGUAAUGCGGUGGUGAGUAACAUCAACACAUUUGCUACGUUUGAACUGAUUUUUGUUUUAAUCUAAUUAAUUAUAUAUGCGAGUGUCGUGUUGGAUUUCUAAUUUCUCUUAUUUUAAGGGAAAGUCUAAUUUCGUGAGUUCAAACUCAAACUCGCUACAUAAUAACUUGUGUAAGAUAAGAUUUGCAUAACCAAAUUUUAUAAGCAUAAACAUAAGAGGAAAUUACAAUCAAUGAACUACAUGAUAUUAUUAGUGUGUACGUCAUCAAAGUCAAGUAGUUGUCUCAACAACUUCAACUUGAUCACAUCUAAAGCGUAGAAACCUCAACUAAUUUAGCUAUAACAAUUUUUUUUUAUUUAGCUAAUUUGUGGGUGGACACAAUGUGCCUAUUUAGCAUCAAUCUUUUCAAAAAUAGAUUACGAAAAUAUUUUGGAGAAAAAUAAAAAAGAAAAUAAAUGAAGAUGUUUCAGAGACGGAUGGAGUACUAUGCAAUAAUAUAAGUCAAUGAAUAACACAUUGCAGUAGAUAAAUGACAUGGUCUACUGGAAGAGGAUCUUAGUUCAUUUCUUCAAGCAAGAACACAUCAAGCAUUCACCUUAAAGAAAUGAGGAACCUCAAAAUAAAAAAUCUCAAAUAGUAGCUAGACCACAUGGCAUUAUAAUAGUACCUUUGGAAAAAUGAUAAAUCAAUAUUUCCUUCUCGAGCUAGAAUUGUUUGCGCCUCUGCAUCAAAUGUUCUGCCCAGAAUGUCAGAUGCUAUCACGAAGCAAAACUAGCUAAAUGUUCAUACAAAGAAAAUGCCAGCGUUCUAGUUUGCAGAACAAUAUAACAGAACGAAGCAAUGACCGGAACAAGUUACUGUGGCCAAAAAGAUGAUGCCCAUAUCAACCUAUCAUAUAAGGAGAUGCUACAUACCAUUAAGCGAGCAACCGAAUUUGCAUGAUUUACAAGCAAGAAAGCAAGAAACUGCAGGGAAGCUAGUCGGCUAGUUCCAUCUAUGGCAAUCAGCAUAUGAUGUUGCACGUACAUCCCUGUAAGCAUUUCAAAGAGAUAAUAAACUGAAGAAAUAAUUUCCUGACUGCUGCUGUGGAUAAAAAAGUCACAGAAACUUCUAAAAUCAGGACAUUGACAUAUCGACUCAAGGUAUCAAACACGGAAUACACAUUAGUGUUAUCUAACUAUACCUGCAGAUGCAAAACAACUGUGGCCCCAAUUUUCUGAAAGACCCAAAGCCACUGUCGCUAUGGCAAUGUCAAUUAAAGAAGCAUCCACUACAAAUGAUUAUAGAGAGAGACUGGUGAAAAACAAAAGAUAGCAGGACUUGGUGGUAUGCGCUUUUAGCAUUGACUAUUACUGCAGAAGUUAAUAAGUACUCAAUUCAGCUAUAGUUUCACUAUGAAAAGAUAAGAGCAUUCUCUCUCUUGCCUUAAAUAAUAUACUUCAAAAUCAAGAGAAGAUUUAAGUUACCACCUUAGCUGCUGCACAUGGAAUACAAGAUGCCAUAGCUGCAUUUCUGCAGUAGCUACAUUUCCCAAUGUGAACAGCAUGCAUGGAUAGAAACAACAUGAGCAAAGAAUAGAAUUCAUCUCCAAGCACCAAAUUCUAUUGAUUGCAGCGACAUGUUUCCAAGAAAUAAGUCUUUUACAUGCUUUUUACAUAAUCCUAUUCUCCUCCUAUGUAAGCUGGGAUGUAUAGAACUUGAAAAUCCAGUCUUCCAAGCUGGAAAUUUUUGUCUUUCCAUUACAUGAAGAGUAUAAACACAAGAGACUGAGGCUGAGCACCCUAUGGCGAAACAAUAGCAAGGACGUGACUCGCUCACCAUUCUAGCCAAUGACAAUGAACAUAAACCACUGUAUUGUAUUCCAUACAUUAAGGCACCAUCAAAGUUAGAUUCCAGAGAAAUCAGUUCCGUGUUUUCUUCCUCAAGUUCAAUAUCUUGAGUUGAGGGGAUUCUACUCAGCUGUGAAUCAAAUUUCUUCUCUAUAUCUGCCUCAUGAAUCCUAUACUUCACAGCUAGUGUUCGGAUGCAUGACAUUCUUACUUGAUCACAGAUUAUCUUCUUCACUUCGUUGAAGUUGUUGCAUCCCCUGUACCAUCUUAGCCAGCGGUGAACUAUCCCUGUAAACCAAUCAAUAAUUUGGUCCUGAUCCAGUAAGAUUAGUACAUAACAUGGUCGAGCAUAUCCCUCCCUAUUAGUCAAUCCAUAGCGAUGAAGACGUUUUGUUAAGAUGUUUAGUGGGACAACAGUUUCUGUUAUAGAAAGAGGUUGGGGUGAAGAAUCGGAGCCAGUUAAAAGAGCAAGUGUCGCAGAUGUCUCAGAAUCAACAUAUUCUUUAGCUCGUUUCUGAAACUCAAAGUAAGCAUCUCUUAUUCUGGUGGAAGAGCCGGUUCCACAACAAGCUUACGUUAACAGUUUUUCUUCAUUCCCUGCACUUUUAGCAUUUACAUGCUGCAUCCAUAUUUUCAGCAACACCUUGUACCAGUGUCUGUUUUCAUCCCAGAUCUACGAUAGUAGGAAAUCUGAUGUAAAAUGGAGCUGCUAUCAGCUAAAUGUUUGAUCUCUGACUCUUUAACCUUUUUUAGUCCAUGAGCCAGCCAUUUCUUCCCAAUUCUGAGAGCUCCUGCAUCCCAAGACUCUUGUUUCUGUUCAGCAAAUAUUUUGACUUUGUCCUUUAACUUGUGAACAGCCCGUAAAGCAGGAGUCUCUUUCAUGCGCCUUCUGAUCAAAGUACCAAGAAACUUAACACCACGUGGAUCAUUGGAUGCUAAAAUAUCAGCUUGAUCAUCUACCUCCAAGUAGAGAGAAUUCUUUAAGAACCCUUCAAUUUCAGACUUGAACGUCAAAGCACUUCUUUGGAACCGAAAAGGCAAAAAAUAUCUCAUCCAUAAAGCGACAACAAUGCACCCUCACACCUGAGUCCUUUCCAGAAUCAUGUUGUUGCAAACUACUGCCACUCAUCUGUUUCCUAAACCAGCCACGGAGCUUUGAGUGCGACUUCUGCUCUUCAGACCUAACUGUGUACGAAGUCUCAUAGUGCAUUGACAUCUUGUAUACCUCACGGUCAAAGAGAUCAAGAUAUAUGUUCAUCAAUAUAGGUGACAGGACCCCUUCUUGUGGAAGACCGUGUCCUUUAGGAAAAGACCCGAACUCUAUAUUGAUCACUCUGGCUUUAACAUAUCCUUUAUAAUACCACAUAAAACUGGAUCUUCUAUCUUAUCCUCCAUUGUUGACAGGAGUUUUCCAAGGAUGCAAUCAUCAAGAUUUUUGUUAAUGGGCAAAGUGAACCACCAGUCAGGAUCAGGUAUCUCUUUGCGUAUAUAUUUCAAUGCUGACCAAUGAUCCCUAUUACUUCGAAGACCGUGGGAAAUCCUAGAGAAGUGAGGGCGGUAAACAACUUCCAAGACUAUCCUAAUAGCCUCUUGAACAACCCUUAAUUUCAGUUCUGGUAAAACUAGUUCCUCUUUCUUGACCUUUGGCCUCUAGUCCGUAAUGAAUACGUAUUAGCCCCAACAUCAAACUUUCCGUCAGCUAGUUCUUCUGCAAUGGACAAAAACGGCAAGUUAUCACCAUCUGAUGCCAAAUCAACAUUAGAGGUCAAUCUUAUACAAUCAUAUGCAUCCUUUAGAGUGUUGGGGUCGGCAAUCACUUUCAUCAUGAGGUCCUGGUAUUUCCCAUUCCUGUAUUGUGCUUUCACCUUCUUCUUUAUUCGCAUCUCAAGAAACCUUUUGAUCUCCACACAGGUUUUUUGUUUUGAUUUUUUGUUGGAAACUUCAUAAGAUUCUUGAACCAAGGAUGCCAAAUUCUUAGCCAGGGCUAUUUUUUCGGAUCUUUCAUCACCACAAUAGCUUUCUUGCCUGGCUUUGUCGGGUGAGUUUGAGGACUCCUCCAACAAGUUAACCAAAUUCUUGGCCAGUGGAACUUUUCUAAUUCCAUUACCACCUUCACAAUACUCAGUAGGCGGUUGAUUUGCAUCCCAGGUUGAAUAAAAUGUAACAGGCAGAAAUCUUCGAGCAGAGCUCCCUGGCACAAGAUUCUUCAUAAUUUCAUUACAUAAUCUCCAAAGAAAGCAAAAGAAAAAUAGCAACAACUUUUAAAGGAAGAUUGAAGAUUCGACAAAGGCAAUACGGUUUAAUCUAAAGGAUGAAUGACGAAAGAUAAACAGGUAACAAGUGUAUGGAGGCUUUACCGAUAGUGGUCACAGGCAGAAAGAAGUUGGACUUAACACGAGAAAGCUUUCUUAGCAGUCGGUGAGAUUUCGCGAGCAUGGCUGCUCCCUGGAGUUUUACUAUCUCAUUUCCUAGGCAUUUUUUCGAUGAGAACUCAGCUGUCAUGAAAUUUAAAGCUCUAGCAGCCUCAACACACAAAUAGGGGGUAUGGCAUAUUCACUUUCUCAUAGACAUUUCAACAAACAAGUAGCGGAUUGAAAAUUGCUUCCAACUAAAGUGAGAGGAUGUUUAGCCAGAUUACCUCUUUGGUUUUAGAGGUCCAGAAGCUUCAUUCUUGGUUUUUCUGUGCCCCUCCAACAACUUUUAUGUCAAUGGCCAUCUCCAACCCAGACUCAUAACCAAAAAUGUAGUAGAAUCUUUGUUCCAACCGCUACCCAAAACGCAUUACGUGCAAUUCAAUCCUAAAUUUAUAUAAAUUAGAAGAAGGAGUGGAGCAAUGAGAAGAAAAAGAAGCAGAGUGAAGCAGCGGCGAUGAAUUGCAGAAGGAAGAAGAAGAAGCAGCGCUGUGAUGGGAAGAAGCUGGACUGUUUGUUUUAUAAUUUUGCAUUUUCAGUUAUUGCCUUUAAUUGACCUAUUUUUCUAAAAUGCAUUGUUGAUUUACUAUGGACUUUUAACUUAGGAAUAUUUAAAUUAAUUAAAUAUAGUAUUUAAUUAUCAUAUAAAAUAUGAACUAUGCUUAAACGCAAAAAAAAAAAUGACAAAUUCAUGUGUAAACUAGAAAGUUAUAAAUAGCUAAUUAUGCCUAAAUUAUCAUCAUACUAUAGUAUUCACAUAAAUAUCACUACUAUAAUAUUAAAAUAAAAAUAAUAACAAUAAUAUAAAUAUUAUACGGGCAAAAUGAGAUAUACAUAAAAAGACAAAACCUAAAACAUACUCAUUAUUUAUAAAAUAAUAAAUUAUGCUCAUUUCUGUUUCAAAAAAUAAAUAAAUUAUACUCAUUUAGGACAUUUUUAUCCUUAUGUACAAUUCGUACAUUGUUCGACACUGAAGUGUCGAGCAUCAUUGUCCAGUGCUCAAGUGUCGAGUUUGUCGAGCAUUUAAUGUUGAACUCUUGCUCGACACCUCGAGCAUCCAGCAUCGAGCAUUGCGUGUUGUCGAGCAUUGAACCUAAUUCAAAUUUCAGGCGGAGGAGCAGCGCAGUGAGGCGAGGCGAAAGAGCAGCUCGGCAAGGUGAGGCGAGGCGAGGCGUGGCGAGAUGGUGGGAGACCCAACAGAUCUGGACACACACACACACAUACACACAGAUAGAGAGAGAGUCGAGCUUGUUGAGCAACUAUUGUUGUUCUAUAUCGCUCGACUUGCAAACUUUGCUCGACAUGUAUGACUUGUCGAGCAUGUCGAGCAAUUGUUGUUGUUCUACAUCGCUCGACUUACAAACGUUACUCGGCAUGCUCGAUAAAAGUUGUAAUGGGUAAAAUUCAUAUAAGAUCAGAGCAGAUAAUAUCGGAUAACCAGAGCAGAGCAGCUCUGGAAAACUAGAGCAGAUCAGCUCUGGAAAACCAGACGCAGAGCAGCUCGGAUGACCAGAGCAGAGUAGCUCUNNNNNNNNNNNNNNNNNNNNNNNNNNNNNNNNNNNNNNNNNNNNNNNNNNNNNNNNNNNNNNNNNNNNNNNNNNNNNNNNNNNNNNNNNNNNNNNNNNNNNNNNNNNNNNNNNNNNNNNNNNNNNNNNNNNNNNNNNNNNNNNNNNNNNNNNNNNNNNNNNNNNNNNNNNNGUCAGACCAGAGCAGACCAGAUACUGAAUGACCAAGUAAAGCAGCUCUGGAAGACCAGAGCAGACCAGAUCUGGAUGACCAGAGCAGAGCAGAUCGGAAGACCAGAGCAGACUAGAUCUGAAAGACCAGAACAGAGCAGCUCUGGCAGACCAGACCAGAGCAGCUCGGAAGCCAGAGCGGACAGCUCGGAUGACCAGAGCAGAGCAGCUCUGGAAGACCAGAGCAUACCAGAUCUGGAAGACCAGAACAGAGCAGCUCUGGCAAACCGGAGCAGAGCAGCUCGGAAGCCAGAGCGGACAAACUGUAGUGGGCAAAUUUUGUAUGGCCUAUUCGAAUAAAUAUUCGCGGCCCAAGCACCUAACCAAAUUCAAAAAACUGAAUUAAUUUCAAUUAAUUCAGCCCAACCCGGUACUUUAGGUCAUCAAGGCCCAUCGACCCAAACCCUAGAUAAGGCAGCGACUUGGGGAGAAAGAAAUGAAUGAGGUCAGGGAUACGAUCCCCGAAGAUCGGAAUGACUAGGUUUAAGGAGACGUGCCAGCAAAACCCUAGCCGUCAGGUGAUCACGGUAUAAAUAAGAGCCAACUAGGUCAUUCGACCCACACGACCAUUCGCACUCCAACACGUUCUCUCACUCUCCUCUCUCCACUCGCACUAUUCUGUCUCCACGCUCUCAGUCUUAGGUUUUUUGGUGAUCGGAUCAACCGGGACGACCCAACGACCCUCGCUCAUUGCUCAAUCGCCUUCAGCUCCGUCGACCAGAUCGACCCGAUUUACUCUUUCAUUUACUUUCAAUUACUUUCAAUACGAUUUUUAUUAAUAUUGUUUACUGACUUGAGCGUCGGAGGCCCUUCCAUCGACACCCCCAUCGGUGCUCUUCAGAGGGCUCUAACGUUACUUGAGGUCUCAGGUUGCUAGUGCCCAUCGAUCCAGACGUGACUAACGUCACUUUCGUAAUUGUCGGAUUCAUCCCCUACAAAAGUCAAGUAUGUCGAGCAACAGUUCUAAAUGCUUAAUGCUCGACAUGCUCAACUCCAAGUGGUCGAGCAUGUCGAGUAUUUGUUCAUAUCCCACCUAUGCUCGAGAUGCUUGACUUGUCGAGCAUGCCGAACAAAGUUCACGAUUCAAGCAAUGUAGAACAAACACACGAAUCUUCGAAAGAUAUCAACUGCAAUUCAAUAAUGUUAUUCAUAAAUCAUAAAAAUAGCUCUAAUAACCAUAACUAUUGUAUAGAAUACCUCAAUAUACUUUCAAACCACCGGAUUAAGUACGAAUCGAAGAAACCCAAUAUUGAAGAAGAAGUUUUCUGGGUUUUGAAAGAUAAGUAUUUUGUAAAAUUUUAUUUUGUGUUUGAUUUUCAAUUUGCAGAGGCGGGAGGCCAUGGUGGAAGCACGGUGCAGCUGGGCAGAGGGGGAAAUCGGCGGUGCAGCUGGGCGAAGGGAGAAAUCGGUGGAAAGAGAGAAAAAGAAGGGAUUGCGAUUUGGGAGAGGGGAAGAGUGCUUGUUUGGGAAUUCUCUUUUCUGUAAGGGUAUAAGUGUCAAGUUUUUCAAAAAAUUGGUAUUAUUUGUGUGGGUAUUUUUUUGUUUUUAUCUUUGAGAAUGGGUAUUCUCCACCAUUAACUCAAAAGUAUAUAUCCCUCCGUCCACGAAAUGAUCAGUAUCCAUAUUUCAUUUUUCGUCCGUCUACGAAAUGAGUACCCAUUUCCCUUUUUGGCAAGUGUACCCCACACAUCUAUUUAAUUAAUACACUAAAAAAAUGGGACCCUUAAACUAUUCACACUACACUUCAUACAUUUCUUAAAACCCGUGCCGUCCACAAAUGGGUACUCAUUUCGUGGACGGAGGUAGUAUGUAUUAAUGUAUGUUUAUAAAGAACUCUACAUUAAAUUCAAAUUUUAAUUUGCUGAGUUCACUACAAAAAAAUAUCCUACAAAUUUUUUUAAUUCAAACCUAUUACUCUAUUAAAUAAAGAAAAUUAAACGAAAACAAAAAAAGUUACAUUACAUAAUACUGAGAAUUUGAUUGUAGAAAAAAAGAUUCAAAUUAAUUUUACUUAUUAAUAAAUAAUAAAAUAACAUAUAUAUAUAUAUAUAUAUAUAUAUAUAUACUAUUUUUUUGAAAAAAAUCAAUGGGACCCACUACCCCACGAACCUAUAUGACUCUAUCACUACAUGCAGAAAUAUAUAAAAUUAAUGAAGAAGAGAUAAUAAAAUUGAAUAAAUGAAUAUAACACAUGCAAAAUCACAUUAUGACUGGCAAUCACUUAUAUGUGUUAUAUUUAUUUAUUCAAUAUGAUCAUAUCUCCUUUAUAAUUUUAUAUAGUUAUGCAUAUUCUCCCUAGAUUUUAUCCCUUAAAAAUGUAUUUUGUUCUCUAUAUAAUUAUAUCUUGAUGGCCUACUUCAAAUAUUGUAUUUUGUAAUGACAUUUCAUUCGACUUAUAAUGCACAAAUAAAUGUGCCCCUUUUUUGUUCUUUCCUUAUGAAAAGACAAUGAAAAACUGAUUUAUAAUGGAUAUAUAUAAAUAUUGAGACGAGUCCCAACAUUCCACCUUAACUUCCCUUAUGCUAUCUACAUAAUAUUAUGACAUUAGCAUCUGCAUUCCAUGCAAUGCACGUGAAAUAUUUUUAUAUUUUUACAACAUAAUAAUAAUGAUUGAUAUAAUAAUCAAUUGUUCAACGUCCACAAAUAAGAUUCAUUAUCUUACAACAUCUCCAAUAUCCAAUUUAAGACUUGGAUGGACCACCAAUCGAAAUCUCACACUAAAAUUGCCUCAAGAGAACAAUGUAAAGCCAUAAUUCUCAAGAAAAUACUCCCACAUUUGCUUGGUUUGGUACCACGAACUUUAUAGCUAGGCAAUAAGUUGUUCUUAUCAAAUUUUAAAUCAAAUAUUUAAUAUAAAAUAUUAAAUACAAUCUUUAAAUAAAUACAACUUUUACAUUUUAAAUCAAAUAUUUACAUAAAAUAUAUCAAAUUAAAGCUCUUAUCAUGAUUUUUAAUUAGACAUGCAUAUUUAAUAUUUUGUAAUUAGUUGAAUUUUACAAUCUUAGAAAGAAAUAAAACAAAAAAAGAAGAUGAAAUAAAGGAAUAAAAAGAAAAAAUAUAGAUUACUAAUAAAUAUUCAAUUUUAAUAUUUUAUUAUAACUACAAAAUUAACAUUAGAAGUUGCCAUUUUAAUAUAUUAUAGAUUUUGACGUUGUAAUUAUUACUCUUAUGUAUGUGUAAGUAGUGAUAUUACAUUUGACAAGUAUUAGUGUAUACUACAGUGUAGAUAUUGCAUGAAACCGAAACACAAUAUAGAUUAAAAAAUUGAUUAGCGCCGCUUACCACACUAUACAUAUUUAUCUUUUUUUGUUGAUACGUAAUGACUAAUUAAAUCAGCUAUCGAGGUGACUGCGUACGUGUAGUCUGUAUUUACUGCUUUGUACUCAUCCCUUAUUCAUGAACCUCACAUGCUCUCAUUUUCUUCUAUUUGUUUAUUGCAUUAUUCUUUCUUUAUUCCAUUAUUGUGAGCACUUUUGCAGCAUUUUAUUGGCUCUCUCUCUCUCUCUCACACACACACACACACAGUUGACCCCAGCCUUUCCAUCCCAUCUUCUGAGCUUAGUGUUUCAAGAUUGAAGAUCUCGUGGGUUUUACGAAUUUUGAUUUUAUAUCUUUACAAUAAUUAAUUCUUGUUAGUUGUUUUACAGUUAGAUCUGGGAUAGUGAUGGUCAAUUUCUGCAGCAUAUUUUAUAUUUUUCGUCUCAAUAGUGGAUUGGCUCUUCUAAUUAAAUUAAAUACGUACCCAGAGUCAGAAAUACAUAGUACGUAUUUUCUUAAUUCAAAUCAAUAGUGCUGUAGAUUGCCGGAUCACAUCAAUAAUUUAUUUGCAUGGUUCUCUUUCGUUUUUAAAAAGCGAAAACUUAAUUGCUGUUAGUACUAUUUAUCUCAUUUAUGGAACAUUCAGUUUGAUGAAAUGCUUCGUCUUUACAGCAAUACUCGCAAGCUACAAACAUACUGGAUAUAAAUUGACCAUUUCAAAUAUUAUAUGACCAAAUAGAUUUAAAAUUGUUGUAUUCGUCAAUAUAAUAUGAGAUGGGCAAGAAGAUUCUAGUUUUAUUUCUAAUUUUAUAGAUUUAGGGCAUGUUUGAUUUUCAGUAAAGGAUUAUGUAGGAUAAUUUGUAACCAGGAUAUUUAGCGUGGAUAAUGACAUAUUAUUAAUACUGAGUUGGUGUUUGCUAUCAUGGCUAAAUACAGAAUAUCCUGGUUUAAGUUAAUCCUAUUGGGGAGGUAGUAUUAUUAAUGUUGGUUAUUCCCACAAAAUAAUACAGAGAGGUGGGAUAAAGUUGGAGUUGACCGUAUUAAUAUAACAUAAUACCAAACACUACACAAAUCUGUAUUAACUUAACUUAUCCUGGAUAUAAACCAAUAUCAAACAGGCCCUUAAUGGUAAUCCAUGAUUAAGUAAAAUCGGAGCAUAUAAUUUACAAUGAAACUUCGGAGCUGGCUGGCUACAAAAGCGGCUUUCGCAGUGAUUGGAAAGCCUUAACAGUGCUUUAGCAUUCACUUGUUCACAAAAAGGAUCGUUUUUGGAAGAUUUGGAAUUGGAACCUCUCAAGAAUCUCAAGAGCUCAAAGUAUAAAAAAAUUCAAUAAAAUCUAUCAAUAGGAUUUAGUUUUUGACUUAUUGUCCACUACUAAAAGUGUUGGAUACCAUAUAAAAUUAGAUUGAGAAUUCGAGCUAAUCUAUAACUUAGUUGAUCAUAAAAGAUGACUAGUGGAGUGGCCUCCAUUAAAGUAGGAAAAUAAAUAAACCACACUUGGCCUCCUCAACUAUAUAUACCUAUGUUCUACCAUUAGAGCUUCUCAUCACUCCCAAAUCCCAAUCCCAACCAUCUCUCUCUCUCUCUCUACAAAAAAAACAAAAUGGAUUCUCAAACUGUCUCUUCCUCUUUCAGUCUUGAGCUGAGAAUAGUAAAGGCAAGAAACGUUUUUGUGAAAACAUGUAGACAAGUUUUUGUGAGAUGCUAUAUCUCUACAGAAAGCAACAAAAGAGUAAGAAUAGACAGCCAAGAAAUCUCAUCAGAUUCCAACUUGACUUGGAAUCAAACAUUUUCACUAAACUGCUGUGGCACUCCCGAAACCAUGAGAUCCCUCAAGCAAGGAACCAUUGUUUUCGAGCUCCGGAGCAGAAGUGCAGCGACUUUGAUAUCAAGAAUGAGUGGCUCAAAACUGGUGGCAAGGGCUGAGAUGCCAUGGAAAGAUGUCGUUGGCGUGCCGGUCCACGACAAGUGGGUCGUCAUGACUGCAAAAAACAGCUACGUGUAUAAUGAUGAAGUGAAGCCCCCGGGUAUACAGAUAGCCACUAAAGUUGAAGAAAUUGCAGAGCUGAAGAGAUCAAAGCCGUAUAAUUGCGGUUGCAUGGAUUGUGGAUGCAAUUAUUGCGUAGAUUAUGAUAUCUUUGCAUUAGGAGCUGCUCUAGCAUAUGCAGAAGCUUUUUAGAGACAUGGAAUAGAGAUUAGGGUUAGUUCUUAUAUGAUAUAUAUAUGUAAUACAGAUUAGGAAAAUUUUCCCAAUUUUAACAAAAAUAUACUUGUUCCACUUAUACAUAUAUAGCAAUACGUCAUAUGCUUAUAUAUUAAAUAGCUAGAAAAUGAAAUGCGAAAAUUAUAACGAAUUGUCAAAUAUUUAUUUUGGAAAAUCUGAAAGAGUACCGAUCAUUGAAAAUAGUUGUGAAUAGGAAAAUAAGUGUACCGCUGAUGUUGAAUUCCUACUAAGAUUAACAUGGAGACACACACAUACUUGGGCGUACGUUUUCGUGGAUAUUGACUAAUUAGAUUAACAUGUGUACGUAAUUUGACUUGCAUUUAAUUAGUUCUAUGCAAUAAUUUUAUCUUUUUU